Molecule: non-coding RNA, 98 nt
Filed under: pig gut metagenome
Description: NiCo riboswitch
Rfam family: NiCo (Nickel/Cobalt) riboswitch aptamer
Source: RNAcentral
ACAGUACAAACUGAACAGGCGCCGGUUCAUGAUUGCCGGGAUGGCCGGGUCACUUGGAUGUUGUGACAGCAGAUGAUUACAGGCAUCUGUGGGACAGU